Etheostoma spectabile (orangethroat darter) is the source of this 195-nucleotide long non-coding RNA. RefSeq lists it as uncharacterized. The transcript has 3 exons. Lineage: Eukaryota; Metazoa; Chordata; Actinopteri; Perciformes; Percidae. The record is from RefSeq and is a predicted model, not a curated record.
GCUCACUCUUACUCACAACACGCUAACCGGCAACAUAGGAUUCCAUUCACUACGCUAAGCUAACGAGCAGCGGCACUGCCGGUGUUGCACCAAACUAAAACAAAACAUGCACUGAGACAAGAAAUGCGUUGGCCCACCAAUCUAAAGCUAGGGUAGACCGUGAUAAGCCCUAUAUCAACAAAUGGUGGCAUGCUU